CCUACGGGUGGCAGCAGUGGGGGAUAUUGCACAAUGGGGGAAACCCUGAUGCAGCGACGCCGCGUGGGUGAAGAAGUAUUUCGGUAUGUAAAGCCCUAUCAGCAGGGAAGAAAGAAGACGGUACCUGACUAAGAAGCCCCGGCUAACUACGUGCCAGCAGCCGCGGUAAUACGUAGGGGGCGAGCGUUAUCCGGAUUCACUGGGUGUAAAGGGAGCGUAGACGGCCGUGCAAGCCAGGAGUGAAAGCCCGGGGCCCAACCCCGGGACUGCUCUUGGAACUGUGGGGCGAGAGUGCGGGAGGGGGAGGCGGAAUUGCGGGGGUAGCGGUGAAGUGGGUAGAUAUCAGGAGGAACACGGGCGGCGAGGGCGGCCUGCUGGACCCCGACUGCCG
RNAcentral lists this ribosomal RNA (391 nucleotides) under uncultured bacterium. RNAcentral's name for it is "partial 16S ribosomal RNA". It matches the Rfam family "Bacterial small subunit ribosomal RNA", at positions 338 to 745 of the family's 1533-position model. The record is from RNAcentral.